RNAcentral lists this transfer RNA (72 nucleotides) under Rhizodiscina lignyota. It matches the Rfam family "tRNA". From Rfam's summary of the family: Transfer RNA (tRNA) molecules are approximately 80 nucleotides in length. The record is from Rfam by way of RNAcentral. Lineage: Eukaryota; Fungi; Ascomycota; Dothideomycetes; Aulographales; Rhizodiscinaceae.
GCCUGCUUGGCGCAGUGGUAACGCGUCGCACUUGUAAUGCGAAGAUCAGAAGUUCAAUUCUUCUAGUAGGCA